This 253-nucleotide ribosomal RNA is filed under the name uncultured bacterium. Its description in RNAcentral is "partial 16S ribosomal RNA". It matches the Rfam family "Bacterial small subunit ribosomal RNA", at positions 524 to 776 of the family's 1533-position model. The record is from RNAcentral.
UACGUAGGGGGCAAGCGUUAUCCGGAUUUACUGGGUGUAAAGGGAGCGUAGACGGCAGAGCAAGUCUGGAGUGAAAGCCCGCGGCCCAACUGCGGGACUGCUUUGGAAACUGCCCGGCUAGAGUGCUGGAGAGGUAAGCGGAAUUCCUAGUGUAGCGGUGAGAUGCGUAGAUAUUAGGAGGAACACCAGUGGCAAAGGCGGCUUACUGGACAGUAACUGACGUUGAGGCUCGAAAGCGUGGGGAGCAAACAGG